Molecule: long non-coding RNA, 2988 nt
Organism: Gossypium arboreum
Lineage: Eukaryota; Viridiplantae; Streptophyta; Magnoliopsida; Malvales; Malvaceae
Exons: 2
Source: RefSeq, a predicted model, not a curated record
CCCGCUUUUUUUGUUUUUUUUUUGUUUUUGAGACCGUUAUAGCUCAAUCUAGUUAGUUCAGGCACUAAAUGGUAAAUCUGUUAAAAUUUUGAAAUGUUUGCAUUGAUAGUUUUUGAUGUUUUUGCUGUUAAAUAGCUUGGUUAUAAGCUUAGAUUUGAUUGUGGACUAAAUUGUAAAGUAAAUUUAGUUAGUUUUAAAUUUAGGGAUUAAAAUAAAAAUAUUUUAAAAUUACAUGAAAAUUUCUAUAGUUUUUGAAUGUAGAGGCUGUAAAUGAAUAAGGAUAAAUUCGGCUAACAUGUUUUGGGCUUCAUUGAGAUAAAUGUAUAAGUUUCGAUUUUAGGAACUAAAUUGAAUAAAAAGGUAAAAGUUUAAGGUAAUAAUGUAAAAUGUUAUUAAAUGGUCAAAUGCAUGUGUUUAGAUAUUUUAAGGUAUUUGAAAUGGUUAAUUGAGUUAAAUUAUUAUAUAGAUAAAAAGAACGAAUCAAUCGAUUGAUAAACGCGAAAAAAGUAAAAAUUGCCUAAAAGUCCUUGGUGUCGUAUUCGUUGCCAAUUUUGAUUAGGUCAAUUUCAUAUGAGACAUAAUUUUUUAAUGACAGUUUAUUAUUGUAUUAUUUAAUUGUUUGAUAGUUAAUUAUUGAAAUACAAUAAUUGUUGGCAUCGAAAGAACUAUAGUGGAAAGUACAAUUUAUGUGGCUAAUACGAAUAGUUAUAUGAUAUGGAAUGGUUAUGAAAUAUUAAUUGGUUUAAGUUACAAAUAUAUGGUUAUUUGAUAUGUGACUGGAAUGAUUAAGUGUAUGAUUAUUUGAUAUAUGUACAAAAAUAUUCAAAAGAAUGGAAAAAUUAAAUAAGUGAUAAAGGGCCCAUGUGAUUUUAGUGAAUAGUUAGGAUACAAAUGACAUGUCAUUAGGGUCUUUUAUAGUAGGUACUAUGUAUCAGUGGUGGAUACCUUAUCGAUGGCUAAGAUCCUGCAUAUAUUGCAGAUUCUUCAUGACCCGUGUGAGUAGCAUCGUGUAACGAUUAAUGUCUCGACUUAUUGGAUACCUUGCCGAUGGUUAAGGUUCUGCAUGUAUUACAGGUUCUUCACAGCUCAUGUGAGCAACAUCGUGUAAUGGUUAAUGCUUGAUUCAUAGCUCGUGUAAGCAUUAUUAUCCUGUGGAUCCGAGGUAUAUUCGCUAUAGUUCUCUAGGGGAUAAAAGUGUAACAACCUGAUUUUUAGUGGUGUCGAAAAUAGUGGUUCCAGGACCACAAAUUUGACGAGUGAGUCCGUAAAUAUUAUUAUUUUUAUAUUUAUUAGUCAAUAUAGUGUUAUAACAAUUUUUAUUUGAUAAUUUAUGUUAUUUGAAUGAAUAAUUAGGUUCAAGUGGUAUAUUCUUAAAGUUAAGUGGUUUUAAAAAAGGAGGUAUUGAUACCUUGUUUCUAUAAUCGAACUCAAAAUAUUUUAUUAAAUAUUUACGAGUGUUAUGAGUGUCAUAUUAAAAUUUGGUUAAGACAUUUUAACGUUUAAAUAUUAAUUAAAUGAAAAGGACUAAUUUGUAAAAGUCGUAAAAGUUAAUUUCCAUUUAUUUAAGGUGUUAAAUUAAUAAUAUUAUAGGGUUAGAGGAUUUAUUAGGAAGAUUGACCUUUGGUUGUUUAAAUGGACGGUUAUUACAUAUAUUUUAUAUUUAAUAUAUGUUAUUUUAAUGGCAAAAUGGUUAUUUCGCAAAGAAAAAUAAUAUUAACUUAAACAAAGAGUAAAACAAUUGCUAUCAUCUUGUUCUUUCAACAUUCCUAGCCGAAUAAGCAUUGUUGAAUAAAAGAGGUUCGGUCAAGCAUUUCUCCUUGCAUGGUUAUGAGUUUGAGGUUCAUUUUUAGUUAUUUUUAUGUUUUUGAACUCGUAUUAGCUUAAUCUAGCUAGCCUGAGGGUCAAUUCGUAAAAUUAUUAAAAGUUUAGGGACUUACCAUGAAUGAGUUUGAUGUGUUUUUGAAUUUAGUUGAUGAAUUAUUAAAGCUAGUAGCUAGAUAUAAGUAUUUUGAUAAGUGAUUUUUAGUGAUUUUGAAUGUUAGGGAUUAAAUUGUUUAAAUAGAAAAAUUUAAGGGAAAUAAUGUAAAUUGGCAAAAGAUGUGGGAAUUUUUGACCCCUAAGAAAAUCGACUAAUAUUGGUUCGCUUUUAAAAUGGUAAAUUUUCAAGUUACGAGAUUAGGGGCUAAAUUGCACAAAAGUUAAAAUGUUAUGGGUAAUUUUAUAAUUUCACAAUAAAGUGGGUUAUAAGCUAGAAUUAAUGAUAUUAAGUUAAUUGGAUUAUUAAUUGAAUAAAAAAUUUUAUUAGACCAAGAAACGAACCAAAUGGAUCUAAACCGAGGAAAAAUUAAAGUGUCAAACUUCGUCAACUUCGUUUUUACAACUGUUAUUGUCGAGGUAAGUUCGUAUCUUGAUUAAGUCAAUUAGUUAUUGUUUCAGUUGUUUAAUAUCUAAUUGAUUAUAUAUGAAUCGAGUUCGUUAGCUUGAAGGAAAUGAUUAAGACCAUGUUGAAAGACACUAUGGCACCAGACUAGAAACAAGUGAGACCAUAGCUGAAGACAUUAUGACAUCACGAUUCUAUCGAGUAAGACCAUGGCUGAAAGAUGUUAUGGAAUCACGAUUCUAACGAGUAAGGCUAUAGUUGAAAGAUAUUAUGGCAACACGACGAAAAAUGAAUAAGACCAUGGUUGAAAGACAUCAUGGCACCCUCCGAUCAUUUGCUACUUACGUAACACGUUUUAGGUGAGAUUGUCGGAAAGCUCGACCGGUUGGAAUCAAGUUAGAGUACAUUCACAAUAUCCAUCCUUUAUCUCUGUAUAAGAUUUGGAUAUAUUGAUAUCGAGCUAUAAAUUACAUGAACUAGGAGCCCUUAAGUUAUUUUGUUUAUAAUGAUGUUGUUUAUAAGUUAGUUUGAGUAAACUUUGUGGUUAUAAAUGUUUAGUAUCUUUGGUGUAUGUUUGAAACUUGAUGUGUUUUUGGUGAUUAGCUAAA